RNAcentral lists this long non-coding RNA (1992 nucleotides) under Olea europaea subsp. europaea. Lineage: Eukaryota; Viridiplantae; Streptophyta; Magnoliopsida; Lamiales; Oleaceae. The record is from RNAcentral.
GUAAAAAAAAAAAAAAAAAAAAAAAAAAAAAAAAAAAAAAAAAAAAAAAAAAAAAAAAAAAAAAAAAAAAAAAAAAGUGACAGAAAUUCAUAAAAGUGACAUACACUCAAAAAAGUGACAAAAAUUAAAAAUAACAAAAUAACAAAACAUCAAUUAAAACAUUGAAAUUAGUUCAAUAAAUUGGCUGAAAUAAAAAAAUGACAACCACCGUCCCUCUUCUUUCUUCGUUAACCACCAAGCAUCGUUAAGUAAGUUUACCGGGAAAAUACCAAUCAAAACGUCAAGCAUUUUAAGUCAAUUCCCGCCACCGUCAUCUACUAACUCAGCUACCCCAUUAAUUAUAUAAAAAGUUUUUUGAAAGGGAUGUUCGUCACAUAAAAAGGUAACAAAAAUUUUAAAUAAGUAACAGAAAUUAUUUUUUAAAAAAAAGGGCCAAAAACUAUUCAAAAAAGUGACAAAAAUUCAAAAAAAAUAACGAACACUCAAAAAAGAUAAUUCACUAUGGUAACCAAAUCAACUCUAUAUUUGGAUGUCAAAAAUAUGAAUUUUGCAAUUCAUCCUUUAACAUUUUUGUCUUGCAUAUAUUUAAGCAAAUGACAGGUACCUAUCAUCUUUCUAUGCUGGCAUUGAGAAUUGGACUAAACAUGGCCAACAUCUUGCGCAAAACCUUAACCUAUCAUAGUUUGGUAACCAUGAAAAAUGCAUAGCCUUGUGAGCUCAAGUUAGGAGUCCAUAGCAAUAAGAAAAACUUGGAUCUUCAAUACUAAAACAUAACACCUGCAACUCCAACGCUAACUUGAGCAUUUUCAGCUCAACUCAUGAGUUUAUGGCAACAAAAAGCUACAUCAUCAAUUAAGAAAGCAAAGGGAGGAAAAUUCUACUAUCAACAGCAACUAAUGUAAUAAGCUAUUACACAUACUAAAUCACCGUGUGAAUUGAACUUCUAACUGUGGUAGGUGGUUUCCUAAAGUAUUGUAGUCAAGGUAGGAAGUAUCUUAUGGUCCUUACAAUGAUAAUAAGAAUACAGAGUUCUCAUAUUACAAUUUUCAUGAAAACAUCAAUUAUAGCCAUGCCAGUCGUGCCUUGUGGGAUAUACUUGUUAUCAGCUAGUGCAUUUGCAGGACACCAAAGAAUUCACUAAAAGCCACAUUCCAUGGUUAGUUACUAGCACCAAUUGCACCACCUGUGCUCUCAUUUGCAGAGCAAAUGAAAGCUCCAUAGAGUUGAUUGAUUUUUUAUUUUUUUUUACACGGUCAUAAGCCUUAAAAUAAGCCUAUCAUCUACAAUUAGAGAUACAAAACCAAACACAGGCAUCAAGUAUUAAUUACAAAAACAUUAUAUACAAUAGAUAGAUGCAGUAAAAAAGUAGUCCUUAACAAUUGAAAACCUGAAUGGACGAAGCAGCAAUUAGUGGACCAGCCACACACUGUCCAAAACCCAUUCAUAACAUCCAGACAAUAUUAUACUUAAUCCACCAAACAUACUUAUUGAUAAUUGUAUACCACCAAAGUCACACUCUCUCGUUGGAGUGUGUGUACAAGUUGAAAGAUCAUCUGCAAAAACUGAAGAAAUUCGCCGUGAAAAAUAGCAAAAAUCUUGAAUAUCGGUUUCACAAUGUGUCUAAAUUUGCUGCUCUUUCUAGCCAUGCUAGCCACCGAUAUUCUAUCCCUUUAUCAACUCCUCCACCAUCCAAUCCAUGCCACCGGCUCCUUUACCAAUUCCUAACCGUCGUAUCUAGUAGUUGUCAACCAUACGCGCCACUAUCAACCAUCUAAACAUCUCCAGCCCUCCUCCCCACCUAUCAAGAAUUAUGGGAUCGUGAAUUUGGAAGAAUUGGGGAUUUCUCUUUGAAAUCUAUUGGUUCGGGGCUUUGGAUGAAUUUGGGGGCGUAUUAUUUACGGUUAUUAGAGGUUUUAAUUUGGUUAAAGCGUAUUAAACUAAUUAGUUCAUUUUUAAAAGUAAUGGGCCUAAUUUCCUCUAAUGAAUAAUGCU